GUCAAACAUGUUUUCAUAUUUCAGAUGCUACGGCAACACGAUUAACUUUAUGAAGACGUUUUCUUUUAGAUACCAGUCAUCAGCUUGUUCUUCUCUUCUGUGUAAGACAGCCACGACCUCACCAAAGAUGGCAUCAGUCUUUCUGUUGGCUUUGUUGCUCUGGUUAUCCAGCGGACUGUUGGCGGCAUAUGUAAGCACACCCUUAAGAAAUAUAUCACUAAAAUAA
Etheostoma cragini (Arkansas darter) is the source of this 226-nucleotide long non-coding RNA. RefSeq lists it as uncharacterized. The transcript has 2 exons. Lineage: Eukaryota; Metazoa; Chordata; Actinopteri; Perciformes; Percidae. The record is from RefSeq and is a predicted model, not a curated record.